GACGAACGCUGGCGGCGUGCUUAACACAUGCAAGUCGAACGGAAAGGCCCUUCGGGGUACUCGAGUGGCGAACGGGUGAGUAACACGUGGGUGAUCUGCCCUGCCCUUUGGGAUAAGCCUGGGAAACUGGGUCUAAUACCGAAUAGGACCGCGCGCUUCAUGGUGUGUGGUGGAAAGCUUUUGCGGUGUGGGAUGGGCCCGCGGCCUAUCAGCUUGUUGGUGGGGUAAUGGCCUACCAAGGCGACGACGGGUAGCCGGCCUGAGAGGGUGACCGGCCACACUGGGACUGAGAUACGGCCCAGACUCCUACGGGAGGCAGCAGUGGGGAAUAUUGCACAAUGGGCGCAAGCCUGAUGCAGCGACGCCGCGUGAGGGAUGACGGCCUUCGGGUUGUAAACCUCUUUCACCAGGGACGAAGCGCAAGUGACGGUACCUGGAGAAGAAGCACCGGCCAACUACGUG
Molecule: ribosomal RNA, 462 nt
Filed under: uncultured bacterium
Lineage: Bacteria
Description: partial 16S ribosomal RNA
Rfam family: Bacterial small subunit ribosomal RNA
Source: RNAcentral